Molecule: ribosomal RNA, 254 nt
Filed under: uncultured bacterium
Lineage: Bacteria
Description: partial 16S ribosomal RNA
Rfam family: Bacterial small subunit ribosomal RNA
Source: RNAcentral
CUUUCUUUGCUGGCGACCGGCGCACGGGUGAGUGACACGUAUCCAACCUGCCCUUUACUCGGGGAUAGCCUUUCGAAAGAAAGAUUAAUACCCGAUAGUAUAAUGAUUCCGCAUGGUUUCAUUAUUAAAGGAUUCCGGUAAAGGAUGGGGAUGCGUUCCAUUAGGUUGUUGGUGAGGUAACGGCUCACCAAGCCUUCGAUGGAUAGGGGUUCUGAGAGGAAGGUCCCCCACAUUGGAACUGAGACACGGUCCAA